This is a non-coding RNA of Monascus purpureus, 102 nucleotides long. The record is from the annotation of a GenBank genome assembly. Lineage: Eukaryota; Fungi; Ascomycota; Eurotiomycetes; Eurotiales; Aspergillaceae.
GCCCGGAUAACACAAUUGGUUAGUGUGUUCGGCUUUUAAUCCUAACAUCUAGUUAGGUUUCAGGAGACCGAAAAGUUCUGGGUUCGAGUCCCAGUUCGGGCG